This 619-nucleotide small RNA is filed under the name Pongo abelii (Sumatran orangutan). RNAcentral's name for it is "retained intron". The record is from RNAcentral. Lineage: Eukaryota; Metazoa; Chordata; Mammalia; Primates; Hominidae.
UUGUUUCACAGACUCUAAGUGAAAUCAUGUUGGACGAUGGGAAGCUUCAGCCACAGAACAAUUCUUUUUUUAUUUUCCUCCCUGAUGUGUGGAAUUAAGUUUUCAUCAAUAUUGCUUUUCUUUCCAACAGGAGAAGGAAUGAGCCAGGCGGCUACCAUAUGCAAGUCCAAUUUUAAGUACAUGUACUGGACGAUGCUGCAGCAGCUCACUCACCACUCUGUCAACGGCUGCAACCUGCAGCCGGGGGACCUCCUGGCUUCUGGGACCAUCAGCGGGCCGGAACCAGAAAACUUCGGCUCCAUGUUGGAACUGUCAUGGAAGGGAACGAAGCCCAUAGACCUGGGGAAUGGUCAGACCAGGAAGUUUCUGCUGGACGGGGAUGAAGUCAUCAUAACAGGGUACUGCCAGGGGGAUGGUUACCGCGUCGGCUUUGGCCAGUGUGCUGGAAAAGUGCUGCCUGCUCUCUUGCCAUCAUGAGAUUUUCUCUGCUCUUCUGGAAACAAAGGUCUCAAGCACCACUUUCAACCCUGUGACUGGGGUCCUCCCUCGGGCUGUAGGCCUGGUCCUCCAUUCAGUGACAAAUAAAACCAUUGUGCUCUGAGGCCUGCACUGCUGCAGG